Molecule: ribosomal RNA, 468 nt
Filed under: uncultured bacterium
Lineage: Bacteria
Description: partial 16S ribosomal RNA
Rfam family: Bacterial small subunit ribosomal RNA
Source: RNAcentral
GACGAACGCUGGCGGCGUGCUUAGCACAUGCAAGUCGAACGGAAAGGCCCUGCUUUUGUGGGGUGCUCGAGUGGCGAACGGGUGAGUAACACGUGAGUAACCUGCCCUUGACUUUGGGAUAACUUCAGGAAACUGGGGCUAAUACCGGAUAGGAGCUCCUGCUGCAUGGUGGGGGUUGGAAAGUUUCGGCGGUUGGGGAUGGACUCGCGGCUUAUCAGCGUGUUGGUGGGGUAGUGGCUUACCAAGGCUUUGACGGGUAGCCGGCCUGAGAGGGUGACCGGCCACAUUGGGACUGAGAUACGGCCCAGACUCCUACGGGAGGCAGCAGUGGGGAAUAUUGCACAAUGGGCGGAAGCCUGAUGCAGCAACGCCGCGUGCGGGAUGACGGCCUUCGGGUUGUAAACCGCUUUCGCCUGUGACGAAGCGUGAGUGACGGUAAUGGGUAAAGAAGCACCGGCUAACUACGUG